CCUACGGGGGGCUGCAGUGGGGAAUUUUGGACAAUGGGCGCAAGCCUGAUCCAGCUAUUCCGCGUGUGGGAUGACGGCCUUCGGGUUGUAAACCACUUUUGUAGAGAACGAAAAGUCUGUUGAUAAUACCGAUAGAUGAUGACGGUACUCUAAGAAUAAGCACCGGCUAACUACGUGCCAGCAGCCGCGGUAAUACGUAGGGUGCGAGCGUUAAUCGGAAUUACUGGGCGUAAAGGGUGUGCAGGCGGUUUUGCAAGAUGGAUGUGAAAGCCCCGGGCUUAACCUGGGAAAGCCAUACAUUACUGCAAGACGAGAGUGCAGCAGAGGGGGGUGGAAUUCCAAGUGUAGCAGUGAAAUGCGUAGAUAUAUGGAAGAACACCGGUGGCGAAGGCAGCCCCCUGGUACGCAACUGACGCUCAGACACGAAAGCGUGGGGAGCAAACAGGAUUAGAUACCCCAGUAGUC
RNAcentral lists this ribosomal RNA (465 nucleotides) under uncultured bacterium. Its description in RNAcentral is "partial 16S ribosomal RNA". It matches the Rfam family "Bacterial small subunit ribosomal RNA", at positions 338 to 795 of the family's 1533-position model. The record is from RNAcentral.